GGACGAACGCUGGCGGCGUGCUUAACACAUGCAAGUCGAACGGUGAAGCGCCUUCCUUUUUGGUGGGUGUGGAUGAGUGGCGAACGGGUGAGUAACACGUGAGUAACCUGCCCCCUUCUUCUGGAUAACCGCAUGAAAGUGUGGCUAAUACGGGAUAUUCUGGGUCUGUCGCAUGAUGGGUCUGGGAAAGAUAUUGUUUCGGUGGGGGAUGGGCUCGCGGCCUAUCAGCUUGUUGGUGGGGUGAUGGCCUACCAAGGCGGUGACGGGUAGCCGGCCUGAGAGGGUGGACGGUCACACUGGGACUGAGACACGGCCCAGACUCAUACGGGAGGCAGCAGUGGGGAAUAUUGCACAAUGGGCGCAAGCCUGAUGCAGCGACGCCGCGUGAGGGAUGGAGGCCUUCGGGUUGUGAACCUCUUUCGCCAGUGAAGCAGGCCUGCCUCGUUUGUGGGUGGGUUGACGGUAGCUGGAUAAGAAGCGCCGGCUAACUACGUG
Molecule: ribosomal RNA, 495 nt
Filed under: uncultured bacterium
Lineage: Bacteria
Description: partial 16S ribosomal RNA
Rfam family: Bacterial small subunit ribosomal RNA
Source: RNAcentral